RNAcentral lists this transfer RNA (74 nucleotides) under Omnitrophica bacterium RIFCSPLOWO2_12_FULL_50_11. RNAcentral describes it as "tRNA-Lys". It matches the Rfam family "tRNA". Rfam says of the family: Transfer RNA (tRNA) molecules are approximately 80 nucleotides in length. Their secondary structure includes four short double-helical elements and three loops (D, anti-codon, and T loops). Lineage: Bacteria; Pseudomonadati; Candidatus Omnitrophota. The record is from RNAcentral.
GCGCCGCUAGCUCAGCCUGGUAGAGCAAGUGACUCUUAAUCACUGGGUCGUAGGUUCGAAUCCUACGCGGCGCA